This 399-nucleotide non-coding RNA is filed under the name Salinivibrio sp. KP-1. RNAcentral's name for it is "Bacterial small subunit ribosomal RNA". It matches the Rfam family "Bacterial small subunit ribosomal RNA", at positions 1 to 384 of the family's 1533-position model. Lineage: Bacteria; Pseudomonadati; Pseudomonadota; Gammaproteobacteria; Vibrionales; Vibrionaceae. The record is from Rfam by way of RNAcentral.
AAAUUGAAGAGUUUGAUCAUGGCUCAGAUUGAACGCUGGCGGCAGGCCUAACACAUGCAAGUCGAGCGGAAACGGCAGUAUUGAAGCUUCGGUGGAUUUACUGGACGUCGAGCGGCGGACGGGUGAGUAACGGCUGGGAACCUGCCCUGACGAGGGGGAUAACCGUUGGAAACGACGGCUAAUACCGCAUAAUGUCUACGGACCAAAGGUGGCCUCUACAUGUAAGCUAUCGCGUUGGGAUGGGCCCAGUUAGGAUUAGCUAGUUGGUAAGGUAAAGGCUUACCAAGGCGACGAUCCUUAGCUGGUUUGAGAGGAUGAUCAGCCACACUGGGACUGAGACACGGCCCAGACUCCUACGGGAGGCAGCAGUGGGGAAUAUUGCACAAUGGGGGAGACCCU